Molecule: ribosomal RNA, 2733 nt
Filed under: Triticum aestivum (bread wheat)
Lineage: Eukaryota; Viridiplantae; Streptophyta; Magnoliopsida; Poales; Poaceae
Description: partial small subunit ribosomal RNA
Source: RNAcentral
AUGUCGGCGGCGGUCGAGGAGCAGAUGGUAGUGAAAGCGAUCCGGGAGGAGUGCCCGUGGGAGUCCCUUCCCAAGCGUCUCCAGUCCACUCUCCACACCAAGGACGAGUGGCACCGCAGGAUUGUGGAUUAUUGCAUCCGAAAACGAUUACAAUGGAAUACCUGCUUUGCCCGUCGAGUUUACAGGGAAGGGGAAUACUAUGAAGAAAUGAUGCGCUAUCUCCGGCGCAAUCUUGCAUUAUACCCAUACCAUCUUGCAGACUAUAUGUGCCGAGUAUUGAGGAUCUCACCAUUCAGAUAUUACUGUGACAUCCUGUUCGAAACUAUGAAGAACGAACAACCAUAUGAUAGUAUUCCAAACUUCACUGCUGCUGAUGCCCUAAGGCUGACUGGUAUUGGCAGAAAUGAAUUUAUUGAUAUUAUGAACAAAUGCAGAUCAAAGAAACUAAUGUGGAAGCUGAACAAAUCAAUCGCAAAAGAUUUACUGCCUACACAGCCUGUUGACUUCCCAAUCGAGCCUUGGUGGGGAGUUUGUCUGGUUAACUUUACAUUGGAAGAGUUCAAGAAACUUUCAGAAGAAGAAACAGCAACCAUAGACAAAAUCUGCAAAGAGGAAGCCAAUUCAUACGUUCUUUUUGAUAUGAAGAUUAUAGAUGACCUCUAUAAAAGAGGGUUAGUGUACUUUGAUGUGCCUGUUUACACUGAUGACCGCUUCAAAGUUUCUAGGCUUGAAGGCUUUGUUUCUAACAAGGAUCAAUCCUAUGAAGACCCAAUCGAAGAGCUACUUUAUGCUGUAUUUGUUGUGUCAAGUGCUAAUGCUACUGUUGCUGAACUGGCUGCAACUUUACAAGCUGACCUUUAUCAGCUGCAGGCAGCGGCAUCAUUUGCUUGCCGAUUGGGCUGGGCUGUAAAACUUGUGGAUGGUGACUCUGUAUUUAAAGACGAAGGUCUAAAAUCUCAUGCUGUCACGCUGUAUGAAGCUGGAAAAUUAGGUGAUUCUUGCAUUGCGGAACUAUGCAGUGAUCUGGCUAGUUUAGAAGGAAAGAAAUUUGAGGGUGUGCUAGAGGAGUUUGCUAAUCAUGCAUUCAGUCUGCGGUGGUCCCUCGAGUGUUUAAAGUCCGGUGGAGUUUCUACCGAUGAUAGUACUGAUAAAGAUGGUGAAACAAUGACUCCAACAAAUUUAUUGCAUGAAAAUGUUACAGCCCAUCUGGCCAAUGCAAACAUCGAGGAAAGAGCUGAGGAUGGCCUUGAUAAAGUGCCCCAGGAUAACUGCUCUACUGGUGUUUUAGAUAAUAAAGAUGAGAAUAUAUCAUCAGUGUCAAUGGGUUUACCAGAACGUGGGGAAAACAUGGUUAGAAUUGAGGCUCAGAAUGACUCAACUGGCACCAAUGUGUUGAUGAUAAAAAGGAAGUACAGUGUUGAUGUCCUCCGAUGUGAGAGCCUUGCUUCACUUGCUCCAGCAACACUAGAACGGCUAUUUCUCCGUGACUAUGACAUUAUUGUGUCAAUGGUUCCUCUUCCUUCUUCAUCAGUUCUUCCUGGUCCUUCAGGCACGAUUCAUUUUGGUCCACCCUCUUAUUCUGCGAUGACACCUUGGAUGAAGCUAGUAUUGUAUACUGCAGGCCAUUCUGGACCACUAUCUGCUGUUUUCUUGAAAGGACAACGCUUCAGAUUGCUUCCUGAACCAUUAGCUGGUUGUGAAAAAGCACUGAUAUGGUCUUGGGAUGGCUCUAUGGUUGGUGGACUAGGAGGGAAGUUUGAAGGGAAUUUGGUCAAGGGCAAUCUACUCUUACAUUGCUUGAACUCGAUGUUGAAGCAAUCUGCCGUGUUAGUGCAACCGCUUAGAAUAGAUGAUCUUAGCGCAUCAGGAAACCUUGUCACAGUAGAUAUCCCUUUACCCCUGAAGAAUGAUGAUCAUUCAAUUGCAUCUGUGGUAGCUCAAGCGAAUUUGCCAAAGGAACAGGUCUUUAAUUUGACCUCAGUACUGAAAGACCUAUCCAGUAAAUUUCAGUUGACCACACUUGGCUACCUUCGUCUAUUAAGACUUAACAAUCUUGUCGAAUCGGAUAAGUUUCACCCAGAAAAUGCAAGUUACCAGUGGGUGCCCUUGAGUUUGGAGUUUGGAAUUCCCUUGUUCAAUCCAAACUUAUGUGAGAGGAUUUGUGAAAGGGUGGUUGCGUCUCGUAUACUUCAGAAAGAUGAUCUCACUGAACAUUAUGAUGUGAUGCAAAAUGUAAGGAGGCGUCUCAGAGAACUUUGUAGUGAAUAUCAAGCAACUGGACCAGUAGCUAAGUUAUAUAACAAGAGGGGAAACUCAAAGGAUCUACCUCGCACUUUAAUCAAUAGUAUUAGUAGCAGAUGGGAUCCAGCAAAUGAUCCUUCAGCACCAACCAACACAAGAACCCCAAGUGAACACGAGAGGCUAAAACUUGCUGUCCGACAGAGAUGCGGCACAGAAGUUGUGGGCUUUGAUGGGAGGACUGUCAGGUCAUAUUCACUCUCUCCGGAGCAGGACGAGGCUACCACCAAACACAUCUCUGACGAACAGUCAUCCACCCAUGAAGGAAAGCCAGAUCAAGAAGAUGCACACAGCAAGGAUGUAACCUUGCCAGGACUAAACCUUAUCUUUGACGGAGUUGAAUUACACCCCUUCGAUAUUGGUGCUUGUCUUCAAGCACGCCAACCUCUCUGGUUGAUAGCUGAGGCAUCAACAGUUUCAUCAACCCUCAUAUGA